This 89-nucleotide transfer RNA is filed under the name Phycisphaerales bacterium. RNAcentral's name for it is "tRNA-Ser". It matches the Rfam family "tRNA". Rfam says of the family: Transfer RNA (tRNA) molecules are approximately 80 nucleotides in length. The record is from RNAcentral. Lineage: Bacteria; Pseudomonadati; Planctomycetota; Phycisphaerae; Phycisphaerales.
GGAGAGGUGUCCGAGCGGCUGAAGGAGCUGGUUUCGAAAACCAGUGUGCGGUUUAUACCGUACCGGGGGUUCGAAUCCCCCCCUCUCCG